CGCUCCCACACCGGCGCCCUGACGCCAGAACACCGUUCACUGCACUCAUAGCAGCCAUGAGCUUAUGGGAGGGGUUUGGUGAAGUGAGGCCAGAUCCACAGCGAAAACCUGAAAAGUCAUAACCUGAACGUGAGUUUGAUCAGCUGCAGCAAACAACUGUGACUUAUGAGCCACGUCCAUCCGUCUGUUUUACAUAAGUCCAUUAUUUCCCCAAGGGGAUCAAACAGGAAAUUGGUGCUCAUCCCGUUUGAGAGCUUCAGAACCAAUCACGGGGGGCCUUCGCUCGAACCCAAGGAUCAAGCCUCAAUUUUGGGUGCGUCUCCAGGGACGGAGACAAAUACCAGGCUUACAUAGACUUAAAUCAGAUGACAUCUUUAAUUUAUAACAUGACAUCAAUGCAAAGCAGAGGCUCCUUCUCUGCUGACUUUAAAGUCAUUUGACUGUUAUUGCAGCUCUAAUAAAUGAGCCGAUGAGGUGAAAACAGUGACAUGUCUACUGUGAUACACAUAUUCAAAAUACACAUGAUGGAUCAAAAUUGAUAUUGUUUACAUUUUAAAGCCAGUUGAGGCAAAAUUUAAGAUUUAUGAAACAGGGUUACACUGUUUGAUUUGUUUUGAAAAAAAAAAACCCCAAGAUGAGGACAGCGGCCGUUGCAAAGUAACUC
Betta splendens (Siamese fighting fish) is the source of this 664-nucleotide long non-coding RNA. RefSeq lists it as uncharacterized. NCBI's taxonomy places the organism in Eukaryota, Metazoa, Chordata, Actinopteri, Anabantiformes, Osphronemidae. The transcript is spliced from 2 exons. The record is from RefSeq and is a predicted model, not a curated record.